GCCAUGCCGCGUGCAGGAUGACGGUCCUAUGGAUUGUAAACUGUUUUUGUACGGGAAGAAACACUCCGACGUGUCGGAGCUUGACGGUACCGUAAGAAUAAGGAUCGGCUAACUCCGUGCCAGCAGCCGCGGUAAUACGGAGGAUCCAAGCGUUAUCCGGAAUCAUUGGGUUUAAAGGGUCCGUAGGCGGUCUGGUAAGUCAGUGGUGAAAGCCCAUCGCUCAACGGUGGAACGGCCAUUGAUACUGCUGGACUUGAAUUACUGGGAAGCAACUAGAAUAUGUAGUGUAGCGGUGAAAUGCUUAGAGAUUACAUGGAAUACCAAUUGCGAAGGCAGGUUGCUACCAGUGGAUUGACGCUGAUGGACGAAAGCGUGGGUAGCGAACAGGAUUAGAUACCCUGGUAGUCCACGCCGUAAACGAUGGAUACUAGCUGUUGGGAGCAAUCUCAGUGGCUAAGCGAAAGUGAUAAGUAUCCCACCUGGGGAGUACGUUCGCAAGAAUGAAACUCAAAGGAAUUGACGGGGGCCCGCACAAGCGGUGGAGCAUGUGGUUUAAUUCGAUGAUACGCGAGGAACCUUACCAAGGCUUAAAUGCAGACUGACCGAUUUGGAAACAGAU
This 619-nucleotide ribosomal RNA is filed under the name Flavobacterium sp. So1Ps_575. RNAcentral describes it as "bacterial SSU rRNA". It matches the Rfam family "Bacterial small subunit ribosomal RNA", at positions 391 to 1011 of the family's 1533-position model. Lineage: Bacteria; Pseudomonadati; Bacteroidota; Flavobacteriia; Flavobacteriales; Flavobacteriaceae. The record is from RNAcentral.